RNAcentral lists this unclassified non-coding RNA (404 nucleotides) under soil metagenome. RNAcentral's name for it is "partial contains 5.8S ribosomal RNA, internal transcribed spacer 2, and large subunit ribosomal RNA". The stretch from base 1 to 121 matches the Rfam family "5.8S ribosomal RNA", at positions 35 to 154 of the family's 154-position model. The record is from RNAcentral.
GAUGAAGAACGUAGUGAAAUGCGAUAAGUAAUGUGAAUUGCAGAAUUCAGUGAAUCAUCGAAUCUUUGAACGCACCUUGCGCCCUUUGGCUAUUCCGAAGGGCAUGCCUGUUUGAGUAUCAUGAACACCUCAACUCUCAUGGUUUGCCAUGAUGAGCUUGGACUUUGGGGGUCUUGCCGGCCUAUGGGUCGGCUCCUCUCAAAUUAAUCAGCUUGCCAGUGUUUGGUGGCAUCACAGGUGUGAUAACUAUCUACGCUUGUGGUUUUCCAUCAGGUAACCUUCAGUGAUGGAGGUUCGCUGGGGCUCAUAAAUGUCUCUCCUCAGUGAGGACAGCUUUUUUGAACGUUUGAUCUCAAAUCAGGUAGGACUACCCGCUGAACUUAAGCAUAUCAAUAAGCGGAGGA